This 207-nucleotide ribosomal RNA is filed under the name uncultured bacterium. RNAcentral describes it as "partial 16S ribosomal RNA". It matches the Rfam family "Bacterial small subunit ribosomal RNA", at positions 568 to 774 of the family's 1533-position model. The record is from RNAcentral.
CACGUAGGCGGAUUGCUAAGUCAGGGGUGAAAUCCUGGAGCUCAACUCCAGAACUGCCCUUGAUACUGGCGGUCUCGAGUCCGGGAGAGGUGAGUGGAACUGCGAGUGUAGAGGUGAAAUUCGUAGAUAUUCGCAAGAACACCAGUGGCGAAGGCGGCUCACUGGCCCGGUACUGACGCUGAGGUGCGAAAGCGUGGGGAGCAAACA